Molecule: long non-coding RNA, 1485 nt
Filed under: Homo sapiens (human)
Lineage: Eukaryota; Metazoa; Chordata; Mammalia; Primates; Hominidae
Description: long non-coding RNA NONHSAT149747.1
Source: RNAcentral
AUCACGGAGAGGGCGAUUUCUAUGUAGAUGAGGCAGCGCAGGGGCUGCUGCUUUGCCACGAAAGAGUUCCCGUGCCGUGGGAGCAAGUCUGGGACCGCUGGUCGGACCGGAGAGUCGCAGCUGUGUGUUAGGGCUAGGAUGGCUCCGGGAUGCGCGUGACGCAAGUGACCUUGCGUGUAAAGGGAUACAUGAUCCCUUAAUUCAGGCUCAGGCUGAAGAACUGACCCACUUACGACAGAAGACACAGGAAGGGAGAGGUGUCUGCUACCUUUUUACCCAGCAUGUGAAGAACACAGUCAAGUCUUUUGAGGGCCUUCUCAGGAACACUGGCAUUGCCUACUACCAGAGACAGAGAUUCUGUGAGCAAAUGGUACAAGGAAGCCAGCUGACAGAGAUCCUUGUCAGAAAACUUGUCACAGAGAGACGGGGUUUCACCACAUUGGCCAGGCCGAUCUCAAACUCCUGACCUCAUGUGACCCACAUUGGCCUGGCAAAGUGCUGGGAUUACAAGCAUGAGCCACCACACUGGCCUAGCUUCUUUAAUACAAGAAUCACCCCCAAUUCUCACCAACAAACUGAGAAGAAAAAAAAAAGAAUUACCCCCAAGAACAUCUGAGGAAGCACAACAGGGACAGACUUGAAGAAAAUCACAACGGCUCAGGAGGGACAUCAAGGAGGAAGAAAUGGAUAAAGUCCUGGAGGGACUUCAAACAGUAUUUGACCCAUUCCAGCCGCCAUGACUCCCACCAGCUUCGCAGCAGCAAUGCCUUCCUCUUUGAUGCACAGGAAGGCCCCUCGGCUGUGGAUAUAGCCAAAGAUGAGAUCCAGAGACAGCGGUAGCACCUGAAGGAGACCCUUUUCAUCAACAACUGCCUGUGAGAAAAGCUGGAAUGUCAUCUCAGCAGCUUUGAUGAAGAAAAUGGUGGGAGAGGCCCAAGCACAUCAUAGAUUCCAUCGUCCAGCUGUAUAAUGAAAACAGAGUUCUCAGAGAACACCGGAGACUCCCCCGACUUGCCUGAAUCAAGUUUCUAGAGGUAACAACUGAUGUUGGAACUAUGAAAAGCUCUUCUCUACUUUUAACAAAGCUUAGUCACAAACAGUUCCCCAGUUGACGAGAACAACUAAAACAACAGAACAAUUGAAAGUCCAAAUUUGAAAGCUCCAUCUCCGAGAAGCAAAUUUUACAGCCACUCCAGAUUUGUAUUCCAAAUGGAUAGUUUGAUUAUAAAAAUCACAUCCCUUCAGCCUGCAAAUGUGAUAACUGCCCAAGAGACAGUGAUGCCUACAUCCAUAGAUAAUCCCCUUUCCCCCAACCUAUAUAUAACUGGAGUCAACAGCAGCUGGAGGAAAAUGGCAAGGACUUGUAAUCAAGAUUAAGUUAGAAAAACACUGCUGUAGACUGUUUAUCAGCUCUUCAGCAUAUGUCCGUUUUCCUUGAAGGAUGAGCGUUUAGAAACCUCUGACAAUAAAGUUUAUUUUACACAC